UUGCCAUUUCAUAAGCGGAGGAAAAGAAACCAACAGGGAUUGCCUUAGUAGCGGCGAGUGAAGCGGCAAAAGCUCAAAUUUGAAAUCUGGCGCCUUCGGUGUCCGAGUUGUAAUUUGAAGAUUGUAACCUUGGGGUUGGCUCUUGUCUAUGUUUCUUGGAACAGGACGUCACAGAGGGUGAGAAUCCCGUGCGAUGAGAUGCCCAAUUCUAUGUAAGGUGCUUUCGAAGAGUCGAGUUGUUUGGGAAUGCAGCUCUAAGUGGGUGGUAAAUUCCAUCUAAAGCUAAAUAUUGGCGAGAGACCGAUAGCGAACAAGUACAGUGAUGGAAAGAUGAAAAGAACUUUGAAAAGAGAGUGAAAAAGUACGUGAAAUUGUUGAAAGGGAAGGGUUUGAGAUCAGACUCGAUAUUUUGUGAGCCUUGCCUUCGUGGCGGGGUGACCCGCAGCUUAUCGGGCCAGCAUCGGUUUGGGCGGUAGGAUAAUGGCGUAGGAAUGUGACUUUACUUCGGUGAAGUGUUAUAGCCUGCGUUGAUGCUGCCUGCCUAGACCGAGGACUGCGAUUUUAUCAAGGAUGCUGGCAUAAUGAUCCCAAACCGCCCGUCUUGAAACCCGGGACCA
RNAcentral lists this ribosomal RNA (617 nucleotides) under Meyerozyma guilliermondii. Its description in RNAcentral is "LSU rRNA". It matches the Rfam family "Eukaryotic large subunit ribosomal RNA", at positions 36 to 664 of the family's 3401-position model. Lineage: Eukaryota; Fungi; Ascomycota; Pichiomycetes; Serinales; Debaryomycetaceae. The record is from RNAcentral.